RNAcentral lists this ribosomal RNA (639 nucleotides) under uncultured Actinomycetes bacterium. RNAcentral's name for it is "bacterial SSU rRNA". It matches the Rfam family "Bacterial small subunit ribosomal RNA", at positions 232 to 885 of the family's 1533-position model. The record is from RNAcentral. Lineage: Bacteria; Bacillati; Actinomycetota; Actinomycetes.
CGCGGCCUAUCAGCUUGUUGGUGAGGUAACGGCCCACCAAGGCGACGACGGGUAGCCGGCCUGAGAGGGUGACCGGCCACACUGGGACUGAGACACGGCCCAGACUCCUACGGGAGGCAGCAGUGGGGAAUAUUGCGCAAUGGGCGCAAGCCUGAUGCAGCAACGCCGCGUGAGGGACGACGGCCUUCGGGUUGUAAACCCCUUUCAGCAGGGACGAAAAUGACGGUACCUGCAGAAGAAGCUCCGGCCAACUACGUGCCAGCAGCCGCGGUAAUACGUAGGGAGCGAGCGUUGUCCGGAAUUAUUGGGCGUAAAGAGCUCGUAGGCGGUUCAGUAAGUCGGGUGUGAAAACUCAAGGCUCAACCUUGAGACGCCACUCGAUACUGCUGUGACUUGAGUCCGGUAGAGGAGUGUGGAAUUCCUGGCGUAGCGGUGAAAUGCGCAGAUAUCAGGAGGAACACCAGCGGCGAAGGCGGCACUCUGGGCCGGUACUGACGCUGAGGAGCGAAAGCAUGGGGAGCAAACAGGAUUAGAUACCCUGGUAGUCCAUGCCGUAAACGUUAGGCACUAGGUAUGGGAUCAUAUCAACGGAUUCCGUGCCGUAGCUAACGCAUUAAGUGCCCCGCCUGGGGAGUACGG